This 250-nucleotide ribosomal RNA is filed under the name uncultured bacterium. RNAcentral's name for it is "partial 16S ribosomal RNA". It matches the Rfam family "Bacterial small subunit ribosomal RNA", at positions 524 to 773 of the family's 1533-position model. The record is from RNAcentral.
GACGGAGGGGGCAAGCGUUGUCCGGAAUUACUGGGCGUAAAGAGCGCGUAGGCGGUUGCGUACGGCGGUGGUGAAAGCUCCCGGCUCAACUGGGAGAGGCCCGCCGCAACGGCGUGACUCGAGGGUGGUAGAGGCGGAUGGAAUUCCCGGUGUAACGGUGAAAUGUGUAGAGAUCGGGAGGAACACCCGUGGCGAAGGCGGUCCGCUGGGCCAUGCCUGACGCUGAGGCGCGAAAGCCAGGGGAGUGAAC